UUGCCUUAAAAGACAACCUAAUUUAAAUUCAGAGAAUCUCACUGUUUAACCUCAUUAAAAAGGAAUGCGGCUUAACACAGGAGGGCUGGGUAAAUUAACACCUGAAUUGCUGGGAACACAUGCAGCCUGGAUUAAAACCUCUUUAAAGCAAAUAAAUAUCCAAGUGAACCCUCAGGCUGGCUCCACCAGCUGCUCCUGGGGGUGGGGGGCAGGGCCAGGAAAAGGCCACGGGGUGGGUGCCCUAGCCGGGCCAUGCACCCCCUCUGCUCUGCUCCCCAGGACACCCGGGUGGGCUCAGAGGCCGCGGUCUGAGACAAGCUGGCCACCUUCCCAAUCUGUCCCCAAAUUUCCUGAGGCGCUGCCAGCGGGGAGGGCUGGCUGGAUUUAAAGGGAAUGAAAAACAGAGAGAUCUUGGCAGGCUCUUCUGAAGGCCGGGCCUCCAAGGCCAGUGCUCCGCCCAAGGCCUGGGGCCGCCUGCCUGACAGCAGCUCUCACUGUGAUAGCGACAGGCCAAGGCCACUGGCCACCCCACCAUCUGCCAGUGGGAGAUGGACAGCUGCCUGAAGCAAGGGCUCUGGCAGGGCCACUUACCCAGGACAUCCCCUCAGUGACCAGUGAUUAGCGACGGGAAGGAGGAGCAGAGAGAUCGCGUCCUCCGGCCCCGCAGCUUGCCUCUGAGGUGAGCCCCGGGCACUUCAGCGAGCUUCCUGAGUGGCCGUGUCCCCGUGGGGCUUUUCCGGUGCUCGAAGGAAAUGUUUUGCUGUCCUGUGCACGGCAUCCCGGCUUUCAGCCUGAUGCGUUUGCAUGCGGUAGGAGCUGGUGGUAAAACAACACGGCCUUUUGAAGGGAGAAGAGCUCUUUGAACCUCCAGCAAGAGGGGAUACCGUUAUUUGCCUGAGAAAAAUCCUGUUCUCUAAGCAAGCCAGAGGAGGAUCGGUUGGACGCAGAGCCACUUCGGGGAGACUGAGCGGUUGUCAGGACAAGAUCCCGGCUGCCAUCAUGAACCUGUGCUAAGUCUUGGCGUUCGGAAAGCCCCGGGAGACCAGGAAGGACCUGCCCACAGGUACUAUGUGCCAAUACUCAAAAAAACGCAAUUUCUGUGUCUGUAACCGUCCCCGAGGUUGGCCCCGCUCUGGCUGGUUUGCGCAUCAGGAUUUGCAAUGGGCCCGAAGAUGUGGGGGCCUGCCGCCUCUCCUCACCAGCCUCCAGGAAGUCUUGUCCCGGGAGACCGUCCAGGUCUCCUGGAUGGCAGGGGCGCCCCGGAGGCAGACGGCAGGGGUGCCUAUGGCACCACACUCUCACCUGUGCAUGUAAGGUGCACCUGACUUCCAGGUCAGGACAUCGCUUUGAGCUCCUGGUUCUGCCUGACCGAUGGGUGGGUUAGUCAUAUGGAGAAGGCGUCUUCGUUUUUUGAAGAGCGUGCUGUUUCCCACGAGUCUUGGGCAACCCAGAGCAUUGUGCAAACCGUCCCCUCCCGAAUCACAUCCCCACACAUCGCCGGUGUAGUCCUGGCCGUGGCCGGCAGGACCCCGCAGUGCUUUUGCUUUGGGACCGGGCUUGGGCAGGGCCAUGGGCAUCUGUCCCCGGUGGCCCUUUUCCAGGGCCUCCACGGACCCAGUUCUCCUUUGAGUCCUGCCCCUCCCCCACCUGACACGUGAGUAUCCUCAAGUCAGAAGCCUCUCAGCCCCCUCCUCUCAUCCCUAGAAAGCAAUGCAUGUACUUCCUUCAGGGAGACUUUGAUCUCUCUUGCUCCAAGCCCUCCCAUGCAUUGAUCUUGGCCCAGCAGCAUCCGUCAUUGUCCCCAGGGAACCCAAGCUUAGAUACAGCCAUGAACAGGGCAGCAGGGAGAGCAGGAGCCGGUGGUGGGUGUGGGAGGGAGGGAAGGACAGCUGUGUCGCAGGCUCUGUUCUGCCCCCUUGGCUUGAAUUCAUGCCUGUUUCCAGAAACACGGUGGAGCACUAUGUACCAUGGAGGUCGGCAAGCCCCAGAGCCAAGAGUCUCCAAAGUAUGAGAUGGCUCGGGCUCCUGAGAAGCUGGCUUCUGACUCACCCAGGGGCAGUGGGCAGACGGGCUGGCUGGGCGGCGCUGGGCCAUGCUUCGCUCAGGGACCGGGCUGUCGUGGCCCUGCCUCCUGCAACACACACCGGUUCCAAGGUUGCCAUGGUAAUCUUCUUUCCGGCCAGCCAGGAGUGGGAAAGGAGUGUGGUGGAGAGUCACCGAGGGGUUUGGGACCAGAGACCUUCCACUCAGGGUGCCAUGCCCAGAGCACUGAGCCGCACAGGGAUAGUGAGGAGUAUUCUGUCAUCGCAGGGGGCCUCGGGGCCAUCAGGGGCCCUUCAGGGCACGUGGACAGGACAGAGCCCCCAGCGCUGGGGAGACUUUCCUGAGGGCAGACGGUGACUGAAGUGUUAACACCCUCGAUCAGCAAGAAGUAGAAGUGAGAUCUGAACGUGACUCUACUCUUCCGGCAACUUGGAAGACCAGUGCCCCGGGGGACACUCAGCUGCUCUCUGUGGCUUGGCCUGGCCCUUGUGUCACAGGCGGAGCAGAGGAAGCAGCAUCGGCACAGCGUUCUCCGUGAAGCGUCCCUGUGGGCAGCCUGGGCUGUGUGUAUGGCAGGAAUGAACCUACCCCACCAUCAGGUCUUCUGAACUGGCUCCUGACCGCUUCCGGUCAUCCCUCCGUGGGCAGGAUUCUGGGAUGCCACCCACACUUUGUGCCCUGGACCCUCAGAAUCUCCUCAUUCUGUCCUCUGCCUUCCCUCCAAGUCCUCAGGCUCAGGGGCUGCUUUUCCUCCAAAACCACCCGUUGCUGAAGCAGACCUAAUGUCCACAGAGCUUCCACAGGUGCAGAAAAGUGCACUGGGGGAAGCAGAGCAUGCUGGGAGAAUGCCCCAAGGGUCCAGCAGCCAGCGUGUGCUCUCCCCUGCCCCACAGUCUCCGCAGCCCAGGCAUGCUGUUCCAGAAACUUCCUAACCUCCUGGGCAGCGGGGACAAGUGGAACCAAGCGCUAAUGGGUGACCAGAAGCGCACAAGACCUGUCAGCCUCCCUGUUUGAAUGUCCUCCUGCCCCGUGGGUGUCAUGUGGGCUCUUGUGAGCCCAUGGCUGUGCCUUGCCCUCUUUGCCCUUGAGGACACGGGCUUGUGGUCAUUGUGACCAUCGUCUUUCUAGAAACAGGCUGAGGCUGGUGAGCUAACUCUGGAGCAGCCAACACUGUGAAUCGAUCCCUGGGCUGCCCGCCUACCUCAGAACUUUCUAUUCCUUUCCAUGUGGGUGCAGCAGUUUCCAAGGGACCAUUGUUGCAGUGGACUGAGAUUUAUUUCUAAUAAUUGUCCUCAUUUUAUUCAACACGGACUCCUGGCUCCCUUCUCAUCAGACACAUGUGUCUGUGCAUGGUACCCCACAGGUACCCCAUGCAAAUACAGAUACGCUAUCUUUGGACUUGCCUUCCCUCUUCCCUCACUCUGCUUGAGGUGGUGGUGUUUGACAUCGCCGGGCCAAGGGCCACCCCCGUGCCCCCCGCCACCGCAUGUGGUUGGCUCUCCAGAGAGCAGUGGAGGCAGGAAACCAUUGAGUGCUGGGUUCUUAGUGGGAAGCAUCGCCAUUACCAUCAACUUGGAACAGCUUGAGGAGCGAUCUGAUGUCCGUUCACAAUCCAUGUUUGUGUGUGCAGAGGGGCUGAACUAGCUGGAGAAGGGAGCGCGUCAUACUGAAGAUGGCAGAGAUGUAAGAAUAAGGCUUUAAGGCAAUAACCCUGUAAGCCACGGUUUACCAGAUGGCAAGGACUGAUAUUCAAUUCACUACCCUUGAGGUAUGGAUUCAUAUCUGAUGUCUACUGGACAGAUGGCCCCAACCAGCAGGGAACCAGAUGAGAAGUCAGAGUGUGCAUACAGAGGAGAAUGCUCUCUCUCUCUCUCUCUCUCUCUCUCUCCCUCACACACAUACACACGCUAUAACAUGGGUGAAUCUUGUUAAUAUUACACCCAGUGAAAGACGACAUACUAUAUGAUCUCCUUGAUGUGAGACGUCCAGUAAAAGCAUAUCUGUAGAGCCACAAGUAGGUCACUGGUUGCCUGGGGCUGGGGGCCGGAACGGGGAUUAGCUAUAAAUGUGCAUGAGGGCUCUUGCUGGGGUGAUGGAGACGUUCUAAAACUGGAUCGUGAUGAUGUUUGCACAACGUGGCAAAAUUUGCUAAAAAUUAUUGAAGUGUAUGCUUAAAAUGCUUGAAUUUUAUGGUGUGUUGUUUAUGCCUCAAUAAAGUUGUUUUUUAAAA
This is a long non-coding RNA of Acinonyx jubatus (cheetah), 4273 nucleotides long. RefSeq lists it as uncharacterized. The transcript has 5 exons. The record is from RefSeq and is a predicted model, not a curated record. Lineage: Eukaryota; Metazoa; Chordata; Mammalia; Carnivora; Felidae.